CACGUAGGCGGUUCGUCGCGUCCGGUGUGAAAGUCCAUCGCCUAACGGUGGAUCUGCGCCGGGUACGGGCGGGCUGGAGUGCGGUAGGGGAGACUGGAAUUCCCGGUGUAACGGUGGAAUGUGUAGAUAUCGGGAAGAACACCAAUGGCGAAGGCAGGUCUCUGGGCCGUUACUGACGCUGAGGAGCGAAAGCGUGGGGAGCGAACA
RNAcentral lists this ribosomal RNA (207 nucleotides) under uncultured bacterium. RNAcentral describes it as "partial 16S ribosomal RNA". It matches the Rfam family "Bacterial small subunit ribosomal RNA", at positions 568 to 774 of the family's 1533-position model. The record is from RNAcentral.